This 655-nucleotide long non-coding RNA is filed under the name Micromonas pusilla. Its description in RNAcentral is "long non-coding RNA (MPUS_LNC000091)". The record is from RNAcentral. Lineage: Eukaryota; Viridiplantae; Chlorophyta; Mamiellophyceae; Mamiellales; Mamiellaceae.
GACUAGUGAGCAUGAUAACCGCUCGUCGGGAGCCGUUACGUGUUAUGUAUUAUGGCAUGAGAAGAGUGCGUAUUAUAUUCUACUGUAACGAGAGGGCGUGGUUUAUGAGACCCGCCGCCUCGCCGCUUCUUAUUAACGACGCGGCGUCAUCACCGCCGCCCGCACUGGAGCAGCGACCCCGCGCCGAGGAAGAGCCCGAAGAGGGCCGCGCUCCCGAGGGUCGUCCGCCCCACGUGGCGGAUCUUGUACGCGAACCCGGGGAUCUGAUCGAUCGAGGCGCGCGGGAAGAGACGGAUGAGACGCGUCGGCGGUCGGCGACGGAGGAGGAGGAGGAGGAGGAGGAGGAGGAGGAGAGAGGAGACGACGCGUCGAGCGCGAGAGACGACGAUCGGAUCUGGCGUGAACGAUGGGGCGAUCGCCGCGACGCGGGGGUCGGGGGGACGCACGUAAUUCACAGCCUCCCACGAGCCGUACGCCGAGCCGACGGCGGCGCCGACGGCGGCGCCGAGCCCCGCGCCGGAGAUCACCCGGUUCGCGCACCUCUCGUCGAGCAUCGACGUCGGUCCGCGCGGUUGGGGAAUGAUGAAUGCGACGACGGCGACGACGCGUUUACAAAUUCGCCCGCGCGACGACGAGAUCUCAGAGAAUCGCCCGC